AGUCGAGCGCCCCGCAAGGGGAGCGGCAGACGGGUGAGUAACGCGUGGGAAUCUACCCUUGACUACGGAAUAACGCAGGGAAACUUGUGCUAAUACCGUAUGUGUCCUUCGGGAGAAAGAUUUAUCGGUCAAGGAUGAGCCCGCGUUGGAUUAGCUAGUUGGUGGGGUAAAGGCCUACCAAGGCGACGAUCCAUAGCUGGUCUGAGAGGAUGAUCAGCCACAUUGGGACUGAGACACGGCCCAAACUCCUACGGGAGGCAGCAGUGGGGAAUAUUGGACAAUGGGCGCAAGCCUGAUCCAGCCAUGCCGCGUGAGUGAUGAAGGCCCUAGGGUUGUAAAGCUCUUUCACCGGAGAAGAUAAUGACGGUAUCCGGAGAAGAAGCCCCGGCUAACUUCGUGCCAGCAGCCGCGGUAAUACGAAGGGGGCUAGCGUUGUUCGGAAUUACUGGGCGUAAAGCGCACGUAGGCGGAUCGAUCAGUCAGGGGUGAAAUCCCAGGGCUCAACCCUGGAACUGCCUUUGAUACUGUCGAUCUGGAGUAUGGAAGAGG
RNAcentral lists this ribosomal RNA (549 nucleotides) under Rhizobium leguminosarum. Its description in RNAcentral is "bacterial SSU rRNA". It matches the Rfam family "Bacterial small subunit ribosomal RNA", at positions 60 to 657 of the family's 1533-position model. Lineage: Bacteria; Pseudomonadati; Pseudomonadota; Alphaproteobacteria; Hyphomicrobiales; Rhizobiaceae. The record is from RNAcentral.